AUUGAACGCUGGCGGCAUGCCUUACACAUGCAAGUCGAACGGCAGCACGGGUGCUUGCCCCUGGUGGCGAGUGGCGAACGGGUGAGUAAUACAUCGGAACAUGUCCUGUAGUGGGGGAUAGCCCGGCGAAAGCCGGAUUAAUACCGCAUACGAUCUACGGAUGAAAGCGGGGGACCUUCGGGCCUCGCGCUAUAGGGUUGGCCGAUGGCUGAUUAGCUAGUUGGUGGGGUAAAGGCCUACCAAGGCGACGAUCAGUAGCUGGUCUGAGAGGACGACCAGCCACACUGGGACUGAGACACGGCCCAGACUCCUACGGGAGGCAGCAGUGGGGAAUUUUGGACAAUGGGCGAAAGCCUGAUCCAGCAAUGCCGCGUGUGUGAAGAAGGCCUUCGGGUUGUAAAGCACUUUUGUCCGGAAAGAAAUCCUUGGCCCUAAUACGGGCGGGGGAUGACGGUACCGGAAGAAUAAGCACCGGCUAACUACGUG
Molecule: ribosomal RNA, 486 nt
Filed under: uncultured bacterium
Lineage: Bacteria
Description: partial 16S ribosomal RNA
Rfam family: Bacterial small subunit ribosomal RNA
Source: RNAcentral